GACGAACGCUGGCGGCGUGCUUAACACAUGCAAGUCGAACGGAAAGGCCCUGCUUUUGUGGGUGCUCGAGUGGCGAACGGGUGAGUAACACGUGAGUAACCUGCCCUUGACUUUGGGAUAACUUCAGGAAACUGGGGCUAAUACCGGAUAUGAGCUCCUGCUGCAUGGUGGGGGUUGGAAAGUUUCGGCGGUUGGGGAUGGACUCGCGGCUUAUCAGCUUGUUGGUGGGGUAGUGGCAUACCAAGGCUUUGACGGGUAGCCGGCCUGAGAGGGUGACCGGCCACAUUGGGACUGAGAUACGGCCCAGACUCCUACGGGAGGCAGCAGGGGGGAAUAUUGCACAAUGGGCGGAAGCCUGAUGCAGCAACGCCGCGUGCGGGAUGACGGCCUUCGGGUUGUAAACCGCUUUCGCCUGUGACGAAGCGUGAGUGACGGUAAUGGGUAAAGAAGCACCGGCUAACUACGUG
This 467-nucleotide ribosomal RNA is filed under the name uncultured bacterium. RNAcentral's name for it is "partial 16S ribosomal RNA". It matches the Rfam family "Bacterial small subunit ribosomal RNA", at positions 28 to 507 of the family's 1533-position model. The record is from RNAcentral.